GACGAACGCUGGCGGCGUGCCUAAUACAUGCAAGUAGGACGCACAGUUUAUACCGUAGCUUGCUACACCAUAGACUGUGAGUUGCGAACGGGUGAGUAACGCGUAGGUAACCUGCCUAUUAGAGGGGGAUAACUAUUGGAAACGAUAGCUAAUACCGCAUAACAGUAUGUAACACAUGUUAGAUGCUUGAAAGAUGCAAUUGCAUCGCUAGUAGAUGGACCUGCGUUGUAUUAGCUAGUAGGUAGGGUAAUGGCCUACCUAGGCGACGAUACAUAGCCGACCUGAGAGGGUGAUCGGCCACACUGGGACUGAGACACGGCCCAGACUCCUACGGGAGGCAGCAGUAGGGAAUCUUCGGCAAUGGGGGGAACCCUGACCGAGCAACGCCGCGUGAGUGAAGAAGGUUUUCGGAUCGUAAAAGCUCUGUUGUUAAAGGAAAGGAA
This 443-nucleotide ribosomal RNA is filed under the name Streptococcus anginosus. RNAcentral describes it as "bacterial SSU rRNA". It matches the Rfam family "Bacterial small subunit ribosomal RNA", at positions 28 to 452 of the family's 1533-position model. Lineage: Bacteria; Bacillati; Bacillota; Bacilli; Lactobacillales; Streptococcaceae. The record is from RNAcentral.